UACGAAGGGGGCUAGCGUUGCUCGGAAUCACUGGGCGUAAAGGGUGCGUAGGCGGGUCUUUUAGUCAUGGGUGAAAUCCUGGAGCUCAACUCCAGAACUGCCUUUGAUACUGAAGAUCUUGAGUUCGGGAGAGGUGAGUGGAACUGCGAGUGUAGAGGUGAAAUUCGUAGAUAUUCGCAAGAACACCAGUGGCGAAGGCGGCUCACUGGCCCGAUACUGACGCUGAGGCACGAAAGCGUGGGGAGCAAACAGG
This 253-nucleotide ribosomal RNA is filed under the name uncultured bacterium. RNAcentral describes it as "partial 16S ribosomal RNA". It matches the Rfam family "Bacterial small subunit ribosomal RNA", at positions 524 to 776 of the family's 1533-position model. The record is from RNAcentral.